AUGUUCCUGUCUCAGGGAAAGAGGGGUUUGCAAAAACAACCGUUCCAGCUUCCUGACUUCAUUGCUGCAACUGGAAUUGAAAAAAUAAGACAGGCAUACUUUCAGAAGGAGAACAAAAAGACAUUCAAACAGAAGCAGCACAACCGUAUGCAGCCCAAGAGGGGGAAUAUGGAUAUGGAUUAUGAGGUUUUGCAUGAUGCAUUCUUCAAAUAUCAAACAAAACCCACAUUGACUGGUUAUGGUGAUCUGUAUUAUGAAGGGAAAGAGUAUGAGCCGAAGCUUAAGGUAAUGAAACCAGGUAUGCUGUCCCAGGAGCUUAAAAAAGCUCUUGGUAUGCCUGAUGGUGCCCCGCCCCCAUGGGUUACCAGGAUGCAGUUCUUUGGUCCUCCACCCUCUUAUCCUCAUCUGAAGAUCCCAGGUUUUAAUGCCUCAAUCUCUCCUGGAGACAGUUUGGGUGAUGGACCUGAUGAGGAAGAACCUCUCGAUCGCAGCAAACACUGGGGAGAUUUGGACGAAGACGAGGAUGAAGAGGAAGAAAAAGAGGAGGAACUAAUUAUUCAUGAGGAAAUAGAAGAAGGUAUUCGGUCUAUUGACACCAUCUCAAGUACUCCGGCUGGUGUGGAAGCACCUGAUGUUAUUGACAUUCAGAAGUUGAGGAAGGAGUCAGAUAACCAGGCAGAAAGGCCAUUAUACCAGGUUCUUGAACAGAAAGAAGUAAGGAUCACCCAUAGGGCGGUGUUCGCAUCGAGCCACGCAUAUGUUUCCCUGGCCAAACCUACCGAGUACGUGCUGGUUGGAGCACAAGGUACACCGUCAUCACCAGGCAGCAAUUUUGGUGAUGGACCUGGGGAGUUAGGAAAGCCUCCAACUGACGAGGGAGGACCUAUUGGUCGCAGCAAAAACUGGGGAGAACUGGACGAAGAAGAAGAGGAAGAGGAGGAAUUGGAAGAUGGGAAAAUAGAGAAGGGCAUUCUAGAAGAGGAAGAGGAGGAAUUGGAAGAUGGGAAAAUAGAAAAAGGCAUUCUAGAAGAGGAAGAAGAGGAUGAGGUACUGGAAGAUGGGGGAAUAGAAAAAAGCAUUCUAGAAGAGGAGGAGGAGGAGGAACUGGAAGAGGGGGGAAUAGAAGAAGGCACUCUGGAAGGGCUGGAGGAGGAGGAACUGGAAGAUGGUGAAAUAGAAGAAGCUACUCGGAAAGCAGAAGAGGCGGAGCUGGAAGAUGGGGAAAUAGUACAAGGCAUUCGGCAAGAGGAAGAAGAGGAGGAGGAACUGGAAGAUGGGGAAAUUGUAGAAGUCAUUCGGCAGGAGGAAGAGGAGGAGGAGGAACUGGAGGAGGGGGAAAUAGUAGAAGGCAUCCGGCAAGCGGGAGAGGAGGAGGCGGAGGCACUGGAAGAGGGGGAAAUAGUAGAAGGCUUUUGGUCUGGUUACACCAUCUCAAGCAGACACUUGGGAUUCACUUGGCCUUUUGGUUGUGGCAGCAGUACUCCAGCUGGUGUGGAAACACCAGAUGUUAUCGACCUCCGGAAGCCAUGGAGGAAGGAGCCUGAGAAGCAGGCAGAAAUGCCAUUAUACCAGGUUCUUGAACAGAAGGAAGAAAGAGUUGCCUUUGCCAGUGCGAUGUACUUGUCGAGCCACAGGUACGUGCUGGUGGGAGCGCAAGAUAAACCGUCGACAUCAACAUCAUCAUCAUCAGGCCUAAAAAGUAAAAGGGUGAGCCCAUUAGCAGUGGAGUUCCCUCCCUCAUCGCCUGUUAUCGAACCCCAUUGCUUGCCUGACAGUCAGUAUGUACUUGCUAGUUGA
RNAcentral lists this ribosomal RNA (1797 nucleotides) under Triticum aestivum (bread wheat). RNAcentral's name for it is "partial small subunit ribosomal RNA". Lineage: Eukaryota; Viridiplantae; Streptophyta; Magnoliopsida; Poales; Poaceae. The record is from RNAcentral.